UACGUAGGGGGCUAGCGUUGUCCGGAUUUAUUGGGCGUAAAGAGCGUGUAGGCGGCCAGAUAGGUCUGCUGUGAAAACUCGAGGCUCAACCUCGAGAUGUCGGCGGAAACCAUUUGGCUAGAGUCCGGAAGAGGAAAGUGGGAUUCCUGGUGUAGCGGUGGAAUGCGUAGAGAUCCGGAAGAACACCGGUGGCGAAGGCGGCCUGCUGGGCUAUGGCUGACACUGAGGCGCGACAGCGUGGGGAGCAAACAGG
RNAcentral lists this ribosomal RNA (253 nucleotides) under uncultured bacterium. Its description in RNAcentral is "partial 16S ribosomal RNA". It matches the Rfam family "Bacterial small subunit ribosomal RNA", at positions 524 to 776 of the family's 1533-position model. The record is from RNAcentral.